AGAGUUUGAUCCUGGCUCAGGACGAACGCUGGCGGCGUGCCUAAUACAUGCAAGUAGAACGCUGAAGGAGGAGCUUGCUUCUCUGGAUGAGUUGCGAACGGGUGAGUAACGCGUAGGUAACCUGCCUGGUAGCGGGGGAUAACUAUUGGAAACGAUAGCUAAUACCGCAUAAGAGUAGAUGUUGCAUGACAUUUGCUUAAAAGGUGCACUUGCAUCACUACCAGAUGGACCUGCGUUGUAUUAGCUAGUUGGUGGGGUAACGGCUCACCAAGGCGACGAUACAUAGCCGACCUGAGAGGGUGAUCGGCCACACUGGGACUGAGACACGGCCCAGACUCCUACGGGAGGCAGCAGUAGGGAAUCUUCGGCAAUGGACGGAAGUCUGACCGAGCAACGCCGCGUGAGUGAAGAAGGUUUUCGGAUCGUAAAGCUCUGUUGUAAGAGAAGAACGAGUGUGAGAGUGGAAAGUUCACACUGUGACGGUAUCUUACCAGAAAGGGACGGCUAACUACGUGCCAGCAGCCGCGGUAAUACGUAGGUCCCGAGCGUUGUCCGGAUUUAUUGGGCGUAAAGCGAGCGCAGGCGGUUAGAUAAGUCUGAAGUUAAAGGCUGUGGCUUAACCAUAGUAGGCUUUGGAAACUGUUUAACUUGAGUGCAAGAGGGGAGAGUGGAAUUCCAUGUGUAGCGGUGAAAUGCGUAGAUAUAUGGAGGAACACCGGUGGCGAAAGCGGCUCUCUGGCUUGUAACUGACGCUGAGGCUCGAAAGCGUGGGGAGCAAACAGGAUUAGAUACCCUGGUAGUCCACGCUGUAAACGAUGAGUGCUAGGUGUUAGACCCUUUCCGGGGUUUAGUGCCGUAGCUANUUUGGCAUUAGAAUAGUGUAGUUGAAGGGCGUUGACAAUCUUUUCUUUAUCUUUGAGGAAGGUUUUAAAGACAGUCUGAAAAAUAGGAUGAACCUGCUUAAGAUUGUCCUCAAUAAGUCCGAAAAAUUUCUCUGGUUCCUUUUUCUUCAAUUGACUUCCGCACUCAGGGCAAGAUGGGGCGUCGUAGUCCAGUUUGGCGAUGAUUUCCUUGUGUGAAUCCCUAUUGACGACAUCUAUAAUUUGGAUAUUUGUGUCUUUGAUAUCGAGUAGUUUUGUGAUAAAAUGUAAUUGUUCCAUAUGAAUCUUUCUAAUGAGUUGUUUGGUCGCUUUUCAUUAUAGAUCUUAUGGGACUUUUUUUCUACAAUAAAAUAGGCUCCAUAAUAUCUAUAGUGGAUUUACCCACUACAAAUAUUAUAGAGCCAAACUUAAUUGAAUUACUAAUCUGAAGUUAUUUUUAUAUCGUUUAUAUUAUAAUUGUGUUAUUUUACUUCCAACUAUUGAGAGAAAUUUCGCCACUAUUUAGCCAGAUUUCUUUUCCGUUAUCACAUUGAACUAAAAGUUUUCCAUUUUCUGAGAUGUCUUUAGCAAGUCCCUUGUAGUCUUUUUGCUCUAGUGUGAAAGUGACUUCUUUUCCUAGAAUGAAUGACUGUUUUUUGUAUAGGUAUAAUAGCUCUUCUGCUGGUGUUUCGAAGAAAGUACGCCAGAUUUCUAUGAUCAAUUCAUUCCUUGUUAUAGGAGCUGUAGCUUUAAAUAAGCUGGCAG
This 1625-nucleotide ribosomal RNA is filed under the name Streptococcus pneumoniae. RNAcentral's name for it is "bacterial SSU rRNA". The stretch from base 2 to 883 matches the Rfam family "Bacterial small subunit ribosomal RNA", at positions 9 to 873 of the family's 1533-position model. The record is from RNAcentral. Lineage: Bacteria; Bacillati; Bacillota; Bacilli; Lactobacillales; Streptococcaceae.